Molecule: long non-coding RNA, 516 nt
Filed under: Helianthus annuus (common sunflower)
Lineage: Eukaryota; Viridiplantae; Streptophyta; Magnoliopsida; Asterales; Asteraceae
Description: sRNA HanXRQr2_Chr15g0712261
Source: RNAcentral
UAUUAAACAAGUAUUCAAACUUGUUGGGACUAAACCACAUUCUAAUCCGGUCUUCGCUUAAUCUUGCGUUUGAACCGUAAACCUUUCCUUAAAACUAAUCGGUCUAAGUUAAUACUUAAACAAGACCCGUUAGGAAUCUAAUAGGUUAAUAAAACCUUCGUUCCAGAUUAAGAGCCCCAGUAGAAGUACUUGUGCUUGCUGAUUAGGAUAUACGGCUGAGUAUAAAUUGCAUUUUAAGCUCAGGUGAAUACUCUUAACUUAUUUUCCCUAUAAGGGCUUAGGAUACGGUGUUAUAAUAAUACCGCUUGGUCGAGUAUUGAAUGUUUAAUCGUAUUGUACUAUACGUAAUUGGCUGAGAGCUCAGGGCGUCAAUAGGGAAUCUCGCAAGUUCUAGAUGCCUAAAGUCUGUUGAACAAUGUUAUCUUUCUGUUUUAAAGAUCCGCCUGUGGAUCCAACUUACAUUCCGUUGUAAUAAUUGAUAUUACUUUUGAAUCGGAUUGUAAUAUAUUUAUCUUU